GGCUUAGUGGCUUAGUGGUUAGCACGUUCGCCUCACGGGUCCGGGGUUCGAUUCCCACUGGGGCCG
This is a non-coding RNA of Ameiurus melas (black bullhead), 66 nucleotides long. The record is from the annotation of a GenBank genome assembly. Lineage: Eukaryota; Metazoa; Chordata; Actinopteri; Siluriformes; Ictaluridae.